CCUACGGGUGGCAGCAGUGAGGAAUAUUGGUCAAUGGACGAGAGUCUGAACCAGCCAAGUAGCGUGAAGGAUGACUGCCCUAUGGGUUGUAAACUUCUUUUAUAUGGGAAUAAAAUGUUCCACGUGUGGGAUUUUGUAUGUACCAUAUGAAUAAGGAUCGGCUAACUCCGUGCCAGCAGCCGCGGUAAUACGGAGGAUCCGAGCGUUAUCCGGAUUUAUUGGGUUUAAAGGGAGCGUAGGUGGAUUGUUAAGUCAGUUGUGAAAGUUUGCGGCUCAACCGUAAAAUUGCAGUUGAAACUGGCAGUCUUGAGUACAGUAGAGGUUGGCGGAAUUCGUGGUGUAGCGGUGAAAUGCUUAGAUAUCACGAAGAACUCCGAUUGCGAAGGCAGUUCACUGGACUGCAACUGACACUGAGGCUCGAAAGUGUGGGUAUCAAACAGGAUUAGAUAACCUAGUAGUC
RNAcentral lists this ribosomal RNA (460 nucleotides) under uncultured bacterium. RNAcentral describes it as "partial 16S ribosomal RNA". It matches the Rfam family "Bacterial small subunit ribosomal RNA", at positions 338 to 795 of the family's 1533-position model. The record is from RNAcentral.